Molecule: long non-coding RNA, 408 nt
Filed under: Panax ginseng (ginseng)
Lineage: Eukaryota; Viridiplantae; Streptophyta; Magnoliopsida; Apiales; Araliaceae
Description: long non-coding RNA (PGIN_LNC014520)
Source: RNAcentral
UGAAAUGGGCGCCUCGGCGCUGGAACAUUUUCUGACAUUUUCUGCUCUGACGUCCUUUGGAAAAAUAGUCAUAACUUCUUCGUUCGAACUCUGAUUUUGAUGAUUCAAGAUGUUCCAAAAAGAGGAGACGUAGAUCUACAACUUACAUUCUUUAAGUUUUUCGAAAUAAGGUCCAGAAAAAUAUUCAAAUUGGCUCUGAAGUGACUGCUAUGUAAAUGGCAAGCCGAAAACGCGCAUCCAGCCACCCCAAACGUCGAUCCAAGUAACUUUUGUCCUAAUUCCUACAAAACAACAUAAAACAUGCAUGAAUAGACAUAAACACUUAAAAACAUCCAAAAGAUUAAGUUCAAACGCACUCAAUUAUGAGUAUAAAACUCACUCAUCAAAUACCCCCAAACUUAAACAUUU